AGUGAACGCUGGCGGUAGGCCUAACACAUGCAAGUCGAACGGCAGCACAGUAAGAGCUUGCUCUUACGGGUGGCGAGUGGCGGACGGGUGAGGAAUACAUCGGAAUCUACAUUUUCGUGGGGGAUAACGGAGGGAAACUUACGCUAAUACCGCAUACGACCUACGGGGGAAAGCAGGGGAUCUUCGGACCUUGCGCGAUUGAAUGAGCCGAUGUCGGAUUAGCUAGUUGGCGGGGUAAAGGCCCACCAAGGCGACGAUCCGUAGCUGUUCUGAGAGGAUGGUCAGCCACACUCGAACUGAGACACCGUCCAGACUCCUACGGGAGGCAGCAGUGGGUAAUUUUGGACAAUGUGCGCAAGCCUGAUCCAGCCAUACCGCGUGGGUUAAGAAGGCCUUCGGGUUGUAAAGCCCUUUUGUUGGGAAAGAAAAGCAGCAGGUUAAUACCCCGCUGUUCUGACGGUACCCAAAGAAUAAGCACCGGCUAACUUCGUG
This 492-nucleotide ribosomal RNA is filed under the name uncultured bacterium. Its description in RNAcentral is "partial 16S ribosomal RNA". It matches the Rfam family "Bacterial small subunit ribosomal RNA", at positions 29 to 507 of the family's 1533-position model. The record is from RNAcentral.